Molecule: long non-coding RNA, 4764 nt
Organism: Meriones unguiculatus (Mongolian gerbil)
Lineage: Eukaryota; Metazoa; Chordata; Mammalia; Rodentia; Muridae
Exons: 4
Source: RefSeq, a predicted model, not a curated record
GUAAGCAAAUAAGGAAACUGUUGAGAACUUUCUCUGAAGACAGUCUGAACAAUUUCAGACACAGAGAACUGAGAACUGUUUCAGAGCUGGUGAAGCUUUCGUCUUAGCACCAGUUUCACCGUUGUGGCUGUUCACGUCUUAGGGAACGCUCCGGAGGGUAAUUUGUCCUGUCACUGUGUUUUGCUUUUGCGGUUGCGGAAGUCGUUGCGCAAGCCUUUUCAGGAGGUAAAAUCAGUUCCAAAGCCUGGUCCGACAGCUGUGUGCCCCAGGAGCCUGUGGUCCUUUGCUUUGAACAUUUCUCCCUAGGUUAAGUAGCUCACACAAAGCGCAAGGGACUCUGCAAGCUUUCUACACUUCUCCUCACUCUCCCAGGAUCCCGACUUCUCUGCGAUGCCACUAACACCCAAUCGAGAAGGAAAGAAAUUCCCCAUCAACCUACUCCAGGGGUUUAAAGUUGGCCACGGGAUUAAAAGCAGGUAGGCUUUUCCCUCCCUCGCAACACAGGGUCUCACGCUUGCUGUGUAGCUGCUCAUGAGUUUAAACUUCUGGCCUCCUGCCCGUGAGCUACACUGAAAAUUCAGGUAGGUCAUCCCUUAAGGACAUCUCCCAGUUUUCUUUACCUGUAUUUUUCCUGUGUUCACUGUAAACUUCCUGCAAGCAAUGGGCUCUGCAAGCAUUUUGUGUUUUCCUCAAGUGAGAAAAACGGUGUGUGGCUACUUCUCCAAGCCUGGGGGUCUUCCUACUCACCAGGCAUUUAACUGCUACUCUACAGAAGGAACCUCGUGUGGGAGAGACAAGGAGACUGUUUCAACUACGGUCAUAUCUUGCGAUUUAAUUACUGGAAUUAACUACAGGCAUUUAGAAAUUCCUGGUGCUUACCUACCUGCUCUUGACUGCGUAUCAUCUCAACCUUUGAGUGGAUGGUAAACUGAGAGGCUUUUAGGGAAGGUAGCAUCAGCGUCUUCUCCCAGAAUUCUCCAGUAAAACUCCCCUUUGGGCAUCAACAACACGUGCCUCUCUGCCUCCUCACCGCCAUUUGUGCUGUCAGCCUUAAUUCUCCCCAGAGCCGGGAGCUCUUGUCACUGCUACAGGAAGGAGAAAAGGCAACUUACGAUUUCAUGAGUAUCAAGGUUGAGUUAUGCCUCCAGAGAUAUUCUCCUUAUAGAUGUCAAGGAUUCCAGGCUACCACUGAAUCAUGCAUUCGUGUCCUUGACUCUAACUUAAUCAUCCAUAACCUUUGGUGAAGAAUUAGUGUGCUAAAGACUGAAGAUCCUUGUCAAAAUGACCUGGGCCAUUGCUGACCCAGUGUGGUUGCUCUGACCUCAUUCCCUUGGCCUCUAGGAUGAAAAGUCUAAGCCUCUCUUUUAAAAGCUCUUGUGUUUACUUGACAUUAAUCAGCAGAGGUGAUGGCAUGGACCCCUUUAAAGCUUUGCCCUGACACUGUUUGACAGAUGAAGAAGUUGACGCUCUGGUCACUUGGGGAUCUUGCCCAAGUGUACCCUGUAAGAUCGAAGCUCUUCACCUUUGACCAGCGUGACAGCUAUAACACCAGGCAGAAGCACUAAUUCACAAUGACAGGCAUGCAGGACUGGAGGGAUGGCUCAGCAGUUAAGAGCACCGUCUGCUCUUCCAGAGGUCCCGAGUUCAAUUCCCAGCAACGACAUGGCGGCUCACAAUGACAGGCAUGCACAGACACUAUUCUAGAACACGCUUCAGAUGACUCAAGACGGAAAGAUUGAAAUGCCUACUUCACCUGAAUGCAUGCUACUUCAGCUGAUACCAAGAACCCUUCAUUCACGCAAGGUGUGCCAGGCAAAGACGCUGUCAUGCUGGGGUUCUGAUAUUUUGGACUUGCCACAGAACUGGGCAUCCGUCAUAGGGUAAUUCAGGUCUUAAAAACAGGAAGUGCUAAAAUAAUAAUAAUAAUAAUAAUAAUAAUAAUAAUAACAAUAACAAUGGAGCACUGCCAUUUUCUUAGUUCUGCAUUUCCCAAGCUUCCAUGAAGGCCCUUUGCUGUUCCUGAUUCGGCUUGCUUCUUCCCAGCAUGUCUUUCCUCUUGCCUUAGAAAUACUGCUGCUCUAAGAACCAGAGCAGAAUUGAGAGCAAAAUGGGGAGAUGGCUCUGUUGCCAAGUUGUGAGGACCUGAGUUCAAAUCCCCAGAAUCCACGUAAAAAGUCCGAUGUUGUGGCACACACUUGUAAUCCUGGCAAUGGCAAGGUGGGAGGCGGAGACAGGUAGAUCCCUAUAAGCUCGCUCUCAGCUCGUCUAGUCUAGUUGGCGAAGUUCCAGGCCGGUGAGAAACACUGUGUCAAACAGAAGAUGGGAAGUACCUGAAGGAUGGAACCUGAGGCUGUCCUCUGACCUUCACAUGUGUGUAUGCAUGCACGCAUGCACACUUGUACUCACACACUGAACAUGCACACACACACGUGCGCAAACGCAAACACAAUUUCCAAAGGAAAUUUGAAUUAACAUAGAAAAAAAAAAUCAGUCUCAAGUGCACUGGAGCUUACCUUGCUCACUCCUACGAAGAGGAGACGCAGCGGCACCCACCUCACCCAAGUCAGUGUGUGCGACCCCCCCACGCUGCGUUCAAAGGCACUGCUCGCAGCCUCUUGUGGGUGGGGAGGGGGUGGGAAGGAAGGGUUGUCCAGGUGUCGCCUGCUCGGACACCUGGGAAGAACUGUGUGUGAGUUUCACUUUCCCUGGGUUACCAUCUCUCCUUCUCAGUCUUUCUGGAACGGUAAGGCCCAAUGGUGAAAAUCAGAACCUUUCCUCAAAAGUCAAGUACUGUGGACGCGGCUUCAUCGUGAGAAGACGCUAGAAGAUCUGGAAACUGUAGGGAGAAGGCGUCUCACCUCCGGUGACCCUUCUGCCCGUUACACAUGGGUUUGUGCUUUGUUGUUGACACUUUCGCUAAAAAGGAAAUGAAUUUCUACUCAUUCCUCACCAUUUCCUUGAUUUCUUUUUCUUCCCUUUUACUAAUGAGGCUGUCUGUGUAGGAAGGAAGAGGAGGCCAGGGACAGGGAUAAAAGUGGCUAUCCACAUAAGCCUGAUGACUUGGGCUCUACCCCCAGGCCCCACUUUUCACCCCAAAGGCUGAUGUGGAGACAUGCAUCCGUAAGACCAAUGAUUCUAUGACAAGAUGGGAAACGGAGACAGGAGAAUCACCUGGAUGCCUCAGAUUGGAGCCUCGAACCCAGAAAGCCCGGCUUCUCCACCCACGCUCCUAACUACCUCACCAUAGUCCCUCUGUGUGGAGCAGCAGAGGGAACAGAAGACCCUUGUUGGGUAAUUGCAAAAAGGGCAAAGUAGGACCAAGUGAUGCCCAGGAUCACGGGGCGAUGCCCUGUCUGCCUGCGGCAUGUUUAACUUUGGUGACCAGACACAGCUUUGACCCAGCCCAGUGGAUGAGCCGGGAAAGUUGGCUCACACCACCAGCUAGGCCGGCAUGCCUGCUCCGCAUGCUCAUCUCUCACUGGUGCGGACACAGCUGGCCGAUGCCACUGGCGAAGGAAGCGGCGUUCAAAAGAGAACGAGUUGCGGCGUUAGAACGGGAGCGUUAGCACGGAGCGGAACGCUUCUGUUUGGUGAGAGCAGCCGGGCCUACCUGUGGCUGCCGCUUCGUUCCCUAGGCCGUACGUUCCUAUCGAAUCCAUAGAAGUUCCUGAAACCUGUGCUGCAACGGUUUAGAUUUUUCUAUAUCGUCUUCAGAAAACAGGAAGAGGUUGUGAAAAACUACCGGGGAGGCGGGUGUCUGGGAAUGACGUCCAGCCGUGAGCGGAUCGUCAGCUGACCCUUAACGUACAGUUCUUCUCACAGACCCCGAGUUCUGUCCACCGAGAGUCCGCUGCCCGCCUCGCUGUUUCAGUCUUGUAUGGGAAGCACAGGGAGAGUGACAGGUCAUGGUAAAGCUUUGGGAUCCUCUGAGCGAGCUGGGGAACAAGCGGUGGGCUCAGCCAUUUAUUUCUUUUUGGAAAUAAAUGGGCAAGAGCGAGAGGGAGAGCUGUAUGUGUAAGCAGUCUGUCCUUUAUAAUGGUGUUCGUGAAUUAAGAUAAGUUUUCCCCAGAAAGAAUAUGAGCUGUGGAUAGACUCUCAGGCUAACUCACAACAGGAGAACUUAAGAAAGAAGACAACAACAAACAAACAAACAAACAAACGCUGUAUGCUUCCAACUAACAUAACAAAGAAAUUUAUCCUGUUGAAAUGCCCCAAUGACGUCAUUUGUUUAUUUGGAAAACAAAUGCUUUUCUAAAGGGCCAUUUUAAUUCAAAACUGGCUUGGAAAAAUGAGGUUUCGGUGCAGAUAUUGACAGGACUUUCAAGAGACUUUGAAGAUUUGGGGGUUUUUAGGACAGCUCUAAUUACGCCAGUACCUAGAGUAGGUCCUGAAACGUCAGGUGUUUUGCGAACUCUUAUCAGAAAGUUGUUUUCACUUCAAGAAGUAUGACUUUCCCCCAUCCUGACACAGAAACAAAAUCAUUAAAGCUGCACUGUGCCAUGAACGGAAUAAAGAGGGACAGAGGAAGAAGAGCAGACAUAGGUUUCUUGAGACAUGAAUAAUUGCUAUCAGUAGCAGGUGAUAAUGAAGGCCAGGUAUCUUCUCAUUUUCCUUUCCUUCUCAUCCUACCCAAGAUACCCAAGAGAAAGGCACAGGUCACGAUGCUGUGUCACGGUUCUCUUAGCAAGCCACCAAGUGGCACUAUCAGCUAAGGACAGUGUAGGGCAGUGAGGGUUCAUGGCAGCUAGGGAAAAGCAGAAACGA